This 2093-nucleotide unclassified non-coding RNA is filed under the name Leishmania donovani. RNAcentral's name for it is "gene:LdHU3.35.0400(CDS-product:Ankyrin_repeats_(3 _copies)/Ankyrin_repeat_putative)". The record is from RNAcentral. Lineage: Eukaryota; Euglenozoa; Kinetoplastea; Trypanosomatida; Trypanosomatidae.
CAGUUCGAACAGAAAGAAAGGGAAAAGAUACACGGGACCCCUCGUCCUCCCCCAAUCACCGUGCGCUCUGACGACGGGUGCCGUGGUUGUUUUCUUGUCCCCUUCUUCCAUCCAUUCCACCCCUUGCGAAUCCAUACAAACAUACAGAGAUACACACACUUGGUGUGCGCGCGCACCUUGUGCCCCCCUCUUCCAUGCAGCGCAAGUAUACCAACGCGCAGGCGUUGGCCGUCUACCAGGCGCUGCAGCAGAGCGGCGGCCUCAGUGCCCUUGAGGACGACACCGCCACGGCGCUGUAUCUUUCGCAGAAUGCGGCCGCCACCGGCGAGCUCAACUUCACGCCUGGGCUACUGGAGCGACUGACGAAGCGACUUGACAAGGGGGGCAUGGUGCUGGACCCGUUCUGCUCGUACGACUACGCCGACCGCCGCCACAUCCGCAACUUCUCCAUGUCAAUCCCCAUUCCCUUUAGCGCCUUCGACGGCAUCCGCCGCAGCAAGCAUCAAGUGCAGCUCACCGCGGCGCAGGAGGAGAAUGUUCUGAAGUCAUUCGACAAGUUGCUUAACGGCGAGGACGUCAAGAAGAGUGGCGCGACCCCAGCGGCGAAAGGCGCGCGAGAGAUAUCUGUGGCGCUGCCGUUUGUGAGCGCCUUCUUCGACCAGCGCUGCCCGGAAUUGCACAACAGCGUACUGACGGGCUCGCGCGAGGGGGCGACGUACCUUCUUCUGUCCGUAAUCACAGGCCACAAGGAGCUUUGCGCCAAGUGCCUCAAGGCCGGCGCCAACCCGAACAACAUGUCGUUUCUUCGAGACGAGUCGCCGGCGCCGGGUGACAUGUUCCAUGGGUACAGCCCAGUUUUCAUGGCGGUGCUGGCGGAGCAGGUCGAGAUCCUGGAGCUGCUGUGCAGCUGCGGAGGCAGCAUUCACGUGUACGACCGCUGGGGCCGCACCCCUCUGCACGCUGCCAUGGCGGUAGAGAGCACCUUGACGGUGCAGUGGCUUCUGGCGAAAGGCGCGCCACUGUACGUGCCAGAUGGCUUCGGCAUUCUCCCGGCUGACAGCUGCGUCGGCACACAGUACGCGGAAUACUCGAUGCCCAUGUUGGCGCUGCAGGAGCCGCCAAAGUGCCCACCGCCGAGCUACUUCGCCGAGGCUGCGAAGAGCUGGGCCGCCCCGGAGCGAGAGAGCAAACCCACGGCCGAGAGGGAACCAAAGGAGGACGCAGCCACCACCAGCUCUGGUGCAUCGGCCGCUGAGGGGGAGAUUAAGAUGGAGCUGUGCCGCUGUCGCUCCGGUCGGCCAGUAGGGUUCUGCGGCUGCAUCGAUGACAUGCUCGUCCGGUGGGCGCGCGAUCGCCUGAACACUGAGUGGAGCCCCGGUGUGAACUUUAGCGCACUCGCAAAGAAGCAGGCGGCUGUCGAAGAGGAGCGAAAGCGAACGACGUACAGCGCAGACGGCGGCCGAGUUGUUAAGUCCUAACAAUGGAGGAGCGCACCAUGGCACAGAUGAUCGGGGCGCACCGAGCUAGUGGCGCAGGGCGGAGGAGGGAGGCCUGCGGCUGCUGCUCCGUGUCACCGCGGGUGGCAUGAUUUGCGUAUAGAAGGAAACAAAGUGUGUGUGUGUGUGCACUCAUGUACGGGAUGGUGCAUGCUGUGGUCACUCUCUUCCUGGGCCUUUUUCUCGGCUUUGCCCUAUCCAGUGCUGACGUUUUUUUUUUUCCGCUCUUCUUGAGUGUUUGCGUGCGUGUCGGCCGUUGCGGCGGGGGCAUGCUGCCGCGGGUUUUUGUUUAAGCCGCUUGCAAUGCGCGUGUGCACCGAAAAGCAAAACCUCCCUAACGACACAAAAAGAAAGAAUGAGACAAGACUUUGAUCUACGGUUCGCUGUGAGUAUGUGAAUGUGCGUGUGUCUCCUUCCCCUACCUUCUCCCCCCUCCCCAUGUGAGUGAGAAAGGCUGCGGCUUCGGCCGAUGGCAAGCAAUGAUUCUCGACAAUGCAUGCCCCCUCAAGGGGGACUUCUUCCGCGCCACUUGCUCUUCACCUUUGCGGCUGUUCACCUAACCCUCUCCCCCUCCCCCCAUCACACGCACACCUGCAG